RNAcentral lists this long non-coding RNA (715 nucleotides) under Apteryx rowi (Okarito brown kiwi). Its description in RNAcentral is "lncRNA (ENSARWG00000000939.1)". The record is from RNAcentral. Lineage: Eukaryota; Metazoa; Chordata; Aves; Apterygiformes; Apterygidae.
CUGCAGUUCGUGUUGCGAUGGUAUCGAAGACUGUAGAGGAUGAGAGUGCAUCUGGGCAGGGCAAGAAACCGUUGUCACAAGGAUGAGGAGGCAGCUACUGCAUGUCAUGGCAUAAACUACUAGUGGCAAGUAUUGAGAAUUGGUCUUCCCGUUGCCAGCUUUAGUUGUGGUGAUAAUGUUUUGGGGUUAAAUUUGCUAUAAUUAGUGAUCAGUGGGGGGAGGCUGUUAUAUACUUGAAAUCCGCUGUUACUGGUGUUAUCUUAAUUGGCUAAGGUGACCCCCCUUACGCCAGUUAUGUGCUUUUACAUGUAUAAUCGUUGCUUUUUCUGUCCUCUUUCUGCCAGAUUUGGUAUAGUUUUAGGAGGCUGCACAAAGCUAGGUUAACCAUUUCAGUAAAUGUCUUACCUCCAAAGUAAAAAAGAAAAUGCAUCUGCUGCUGUCAGAGAAACAUGAACUUGGCAUCAUUUUUGCUAAUAUACAGACUCUUUCACAGGUGCUGGAAAAACUGAAAUUCUUCCAGUUCUUGCAGUUCCAUGCACAAGCCAUGAUUCAGCAAGCCAGCCCAAUGUGUGAUGUCAUUGCACCCAGUGCCAAACCUCUACAGCAAUUUCAAAAGCACUUCCUGACUCUGUGGAAACUUUCCCUGCAUAAUGAAGACAGGCUGUCAGCAAGAGGUGAUUUCUGUAAAUCUUUCAUCAUAUUAUUCACUCUAUAG